Molecule: ribosomal RNA, 550 nt
Filed under: uncultured bacterium
Lineage: Bacteria
Description: bacterial SSU rRNA
Rfam family: Bacterial small subunit ribosomal RNA
Source: RNAcentral
UGGGGAAUAUUGGACAAUGGGCGCAAGCCUGAUCCAGCCAUACCGCGUGGGUGAAGAAGGCCUUCGGGUUGUAAAGCCCUUUUGUUGGGAAAGAAAUCCAGCUGGCUAAUACCCGGUUGGGAUGACGGUACCCAAAGAAUAAGCACCGGCUAACUUCGUGCCAGCAGCCGCGGUAAUACGAAGGGUGCAAGCGUUACUCGGAAUUACUGGGCGUAAAGCGUGCGUAGGUGGUCGUUUAAGUCCGUUGUGAAAGCCCUGGGCUCAACCUGGGAACUGCAGUGGAUACUGGGCGACUAGAGUGUGGUAGAGGGUAGCGGAAUUCCUGGUGUAGCAGUGAAAUGCGUAGAGAUCAGGAGGAACAUCCAUGGCGAAGGCAGCUACCUGGACCAACACUGACACUGAGGCACGAAAGCGUGGGGAGCAAACAGGAUUAGAUACCCUGGUAGUCCACGCCCUAAACGAUGCGAACUGGAUGUUGGGUGCAAUUUGGCACGCAGUAUCGAAGCUAACGCGUUAAGUUCGCCGCCUGGGGAGUACGGUCGCAAGACUG